RNAcentral lists this ribosomal RNA (118 nucleotides) under Panthera pardus (leopard). The record is from RNAcentral. Lineage: Eukaryota; Metazoa; Chordata; Mammalia; Carnivora; Felidae.
UAUAUGAAUAGUUUCAAACUUUUCGCGCGCGAUCUCGUCUGAUCUCGGAAGCUAAGCAGGGUCGGGCCUGGUUAGUACUUGGAUGGGAAACCGAUUUAACAAUCAAGAGCUUAAAUAC